RNAcentral lists this long non-coding RNA (216 nucleotides) under Salvia miltiorrhiza (redroot sage). RNAcentral describes it as "long non-coding RNA (SMIL_LNC012806)". Lineage: Eukaryota; Viridiplantae; Streptophyta; Magnoliopsida; Lamiales; Lamiaceae. The record is from RNAcentral.
AGCGAAGUACCUGAAUUACCACUUACAAGUGGUUUACCGUUUUCACGUUAUGGCGGUUCCCAUAUUUUGUUCAAAGCUUUCCCAAAUUUAAUUUCCCUGUGCUACAAGAUCUUUUAGGCAAAAGUGUUAGCAACAUAUGAAAGCCCCUCAAGGUAUUCUCACUAAAGUAUUGGCACCCCAACAAAUCUGUGGUUUCAUAACAAAUUUUUAAACACA